Molecule: ribosomal RNA, 445 nt
Filed under: uncultured Vibrio sp.
Lineage: Bacteria; Pseudomonadati; Pseudomonadota; Gammaproteobacteria; Vibrionales; Vibrionaceae
Description: bacterial SSU rRNA
Rfam family: Bacterial small subunit ribosomal RNA
Source: RNAcentral
GGGAGGCAGCAGUGGGGAAUAUUGCACAAUGGGCGAAAGCCUGAUGCAGCCAUGCCGCGUGUAUGAAGAAGGCCUUCGGGUUGUAAAGUACUUUCAGUUGUGAGGAAGGGUGUGUAGUUAAUAGCUGCGCAUCUUGACGUUAGCAACAGAAGAAGCACCGGCUAACUCCGUGCCAGCAGCCGCGGUAAUACGGAGGGUGCGAGCGUUAAUCGGAAUUACUGGGCGUAAAGCGCAUGCAGGUGGUUCAUUAAGUCAGAUGUGAAAGCCCGGGGCUCAACCUCGGAACUGCAUUUGAAACUGGUGAACUAGAGUGCUGUAGAGGGGGGUAGAAUUUCAGGUGUAGCGGUGAAAUGCGUAGGGAUCUGAAGGAGUACCAGUGGCGAAGGCGGCCCCCUGGACAGACACUGACACUCAGAUGCGAAAGCGUGGGUAGCAAACAGGAUUA